Molecule: ribosomal RNA, 711 nt
Filed under: uncultured yard-trimming-compost bacterium
Lineage: Bacteria
Description: bacterial SSU rRNA
Rfam family: Bacterial small subunit ribosomal RNA
Source: RNAcentral
UAGCGGCAGGCUUAACACAUGCAAGUCGAGGGGUAUUGGUUUUCGGACCAAGNAGACCGGCGCACGGGUGCGUAACGCGUAUGCAAUCUACCUUUCACAGAGGGAUAGCCCAGAGAAAUUUGGAUUAAUACCUCAUAGUAUUAUAGAAUGGCAUCAUUUUAUAAUUAAAGUCACAACGGUGAAAGAUGAGCAUGCGUCCCAUUAGCUAGAUGGUAAGGUAACGGCUUACCAUGGCAACGAUGGGUAGGGGUCCUGAGAGGGAGAUCCCCCACACUGGUACUGAGACACGGACCAGACUCCUACGGGAGGCAGCAGUGAGGAAUAUUGGUCAAUGGACGCAAGUCUGAACCAGCCAUGCCGCGUGCAGGAUGACGGUCCUAUGGAUUGUAAACUGCUUUUGCACAGGAAGAAACAACGCUACGUGUAGCGUCUUGACGGUACUGUGAGAAUAAGGAUCGGCUAACUCCGUGCCAGCAGCCGCGGUAAUACGGAGGAUCCAAGCGUUAUCCGGAAUCAUUGGGUUUAAAGGGUCCGUAGGCGGUUUAGUAAGUCAGUGGUGAAAGCCCAUCGCUCAACGGUGGAACGGCCAUUGAUACUGCUAGACUUGAAUUAUUAGGAAGUAACUAGAAUAUGUAGUGUAGCGGUGAAAUGCUUAGAGAUUACAUGGGAAUACCAAUUGCGAAGGCAGGUUACUACUAAUAUAUUGACGCU